Molecule: ribosomal RNA, 322 nt
Filed under: Lamproderma ovoideum
Lineage: Eukaryota; Evosea; Eumycetozoa; Stemonitida; Stemonitidae
Also listed under: 1 other name
Description: bacterial SSU rRNA
Rfam family: Eukaryotic small subunit ribosomal RNA
Source: RNAcentral
UCUGAAUCUGCGAACGGCUCCGCAAACCAGUUGUAAACUAUAGCAAGCAGGCUCGGGGUCGGCCUUCACGGGCUGGCCUCGGGUGAUAUGGAUAACCCUGGUAAUUCUGAGGCUAAUACAUGAACGUAGAACCCGGUUGACUAGGCUUCACGGCCCGGGAUGCUGGGGGAUGUGCGAUUGGCAGGCUUGGGUAACACCGGGAAAGGGCGCGCGUCCAGACCGCGCUAUAAAGGAUGGGCUCCUCACGGGGCCUGCCCCAGCGGCUCUUGCUGUGUGCUUCUGACCUAUCAACUAGACGGCAGCGUAAGGGACAUGCUAUGGU